RNAcentral lists this ribosomal RNA (232 nucleotides) under uncultured bacterium. RNAcentral's name for it is "partial 16S ribosomal RNA". It matches the Rfam family "Bacterial small subunit ribosomal RNA", at positions 99 to 334 of the family's 1533-position model. The record is from RNAcentral.
CGGACGGGUGAGUAAUGUCUGGGAAACUGCCUGAUGGAGGGGGAUAACUACUGGAAACGGUAGCUAAUACCGCAUAACGUCGCAAGACCAAAGAGGGGGACCUUGGGGCCUCUUGCCAUCGGAUGUGCCCAGAUGGGAUUAGCUAGUAGGUGGGGUAACGGCUCACCUAGGCGACGAUCCCUAGCUGGUCUGAGAGGAUGACCAGCCACACUGGAACUGAGACACGGUCCAG